UCCAGACUCCUACGGGAGGCAGCAGUGAGGAAUAUUGGUCAAUGGGCUUACGCCUGAACCAGCCAAGUCGCGUGAGGGAAGACUGCCCUAUGGGUUGUAAACCUCUUUUGUCAGGGAGCAACGCCGGCUACGUGUAGCCGGACUGAGAGUACCUGAAGAAAAAGCAUCGGCUAACUCCGUGCCAGCAGCCGCGGUAAUACGGAGGAUGCGAGCGUUAUCCGGAUUUAUUGGGUUUAAAGGGUGCGUAGGCGGACUGGAAAGUCAGCGGUAAAAUCGAGAGGCCCACCCUCUUUCCGCCGUUGAAACUGUCGGUCUUGAGUGGGCGAGAAGUAUGCGGAAUGCGUUGUGUAGCGGUGAAAUGCAUAGAUAUUGCGCAGAACUCCGAUUGCGAAGGCAGCAUACCGGCGGCGAUCUGACGCUGAGGCACGAAAGCGUGGGUAUCGAACAGGAUUAGAUACCCGGGUAC
This 466-nucleotide ribosomal RNA is filed under the name uncultured bacterium. RNAcentral's name for it is "bacterial SSU rRNA". It matches the Rfam family "Bacterial small subunit ribosomal RNA", at positions 330 to 793 of the family's 1533-position model. The record is from RNAcentral.